This 486-nucleotide ribosomal RNA is filed under the name uncultured bacterium. Its description in RNAcentral is "partial 16S ribosomal RNA". It matches the Rfam family "Bacterial small subunit ribosomal RNA", at positions 28 to 507 of the family's 1533-position model. The record is from RNAcentral.
GAUGAACGCUAGCGGCAGGCUUAACACAUGCAAGUCGAGGGGCAGCGCGGGAUAGCAAUAUCCUGGCGGCGACCGGCGGAAGGGUGCGUAACGCGUGAGCGACAUGCCCGUUGCCCGGGGACAACCGGUGGAAACGCCGACUAAUCCCCGAUGGGAUAUUGUGCCGCAUGGCACGAUAUUGAAAGUUACGGCGGCGACGGAUUGGCUCGCGUCCGAUUAGCUGGUUGGCGGGGUAACGGCCCACCAAGGCUGCGAUCGGUAGGGGUUCUGAGAGGAAGGCCCCCCACAAUGGGACUGAGACACGGCCCAUACUCCUACGGGAGGCAGCAGUGAGGAAUAUUGGUCAAUGGGCGGAAGCCUGAACCAGCCAUGCCGCGUGCGGGAAGGAGGCCCUAUGGGCUGUGAACCGCUUUUGCCUGGGGGCAAUAAGGGCGUCGCGCACGUCCGAUGAGAGUACCAGGCGAAUAAGCAUCGGCUAACUCCGUG